Non-coding RNA from Dicentrarchus labrax (European seabass), 446 nucleotides. The record is from the annotation of a RefSeq genome assembly. NCBI's taxonomy places the organism in Eukaryota, Metazoa, Chordata, Actinopteri, Moronidae.
CACACACUGACACCAACUCCGGUCUCCAAGUUCAUGUUACUCAGAACACAAUAAUGAUCACUGCUGGUCUGAUCAGACUCUCUGCAGCUCUGCUCUGGAUUGUAGGUCUAAUUGAUGGGAGUGAUGUCACUCAGACACCUUUGCUGUGGAAACUCAAGGAUCAGUCUGCCACAAUGAACUGCAGUCACAACAAGGACGUUACUUAUUUCCAGAUGUACUGGUACAGACAGCUACCAGGAGAGGGGAUGAAGCAAAUAGUUCUCACCACUACAACUCCACCACAUAAAUAUGAAAGUGGCUUCAGCGAGGACAAGUUUCCAGCGCAGAAGAACGACCCUCAGACUGGAUCUUUGACAGUGGAGAAGCUGCUGCCUGAGGACAGUGGAGUGUAUUUUUGUGCUGUGAGUCAACACAGUGAUACAGGUGGCUGAGACAGCUGUACAAAU